Molecule: transfer RNA, 88 nt
Filed under: Janthinobacterium lividum
Lineage: Bacteria; Pseudomonadati; Pseudomonadota; Betaproteobacteria; Burkholderiales; Oxalobacteraceae
Also listed under: 41 other names
Description: tRNA-Ser
Rfam family: tRNA
About the family: Transfer RNA (tRNA) molecules are approximately 80 nucleotides in length.
Source: RNAcentral
GGAGAGAUGGCCGAGUGGCUGAAGGCGCACGCUUGGAAAGCGUGUAUACCGCAAGGUAUCCAGGGUUCGAAUCCCUGUCUCUCCGCCA